Molecule: ribosomal RNA, 252 nt
Filed under: uncultured bacterium
Lineage: Bacteria
Description: partial 16S ribosomal RNA
Rfam family: Bacterial small subunit ribosomal RNA
Source: RNAcentral
UACAGAGGUCUCAAGCGUUGUUCGGAUUCAUUGGGCGUAAAGGGCGCGUAGGCGGCGAGGUAAGUCUGGUGUGAAAUCUAGGAGCUUAACUCCUAAACUGCACUGGAUACUGCUUUGCUUGAGGACUGGAGAGGAGAUUGGAAUUCACGGUGUAGCAGUGAAAUGCGUAGAUAUCGUGAGGAAGACCAGUGGCGAAGGCGGAUCUCUGGACAGUUCCUGACGCUGAGGCGCGAAGGCCAGGGGAGCAAACGG